GAAUAUCAAGGGCAAAAUCACUGAAAAGUGAUGACGCAAAGCUAUAGGGGCUUAUGUGGAAAAAAAACAAUGCCAGCCAGCUGCCAUC
Bacillus infantis NRRL B-14911 is the source of this 88-nucleotide regulatory RNA element. It matches the Rfam family "c-di-GMP-I riboswitch aptamer". Rfam says of the family: GEMM was predicted in a large-scale screen for bacterial structured RNA regulatory elements. Genes associated with GEMM are involved in a diverse array of functions, including chemotaxis regulation, signal transduction, secretion and chitin. NCBI's taxonomy places the organism in Bacteria, Bacillati, Bacillota, Bacilli, Caryophanales, Bacillaceae. The record is from Rfam.